GGGCUAUAGCUCAGCUGGGAGAGCGCCUGCCUUGCACGCAGGAGGUCAGGGGUUCGAUCCCCCUUGGCUCC
RNAcentral lists this transfer RNA (71 nucleotides) under Paenibacillus polymyxa. It matches the Rfam family "tRNA". Rfam says of the family: Transfer RNA (tRNA) molecules are approximately 80 nucleotides in length. Their secondary structure includes four short double-helical elements and three loops (D, anti-codon, and T loops). Further hydrogen bonds mediate the characteristic L-shaped molecular structure. tRNAs have two regions of fundamental functional importance: the anti-codon, which is responsible for specific mRNA codon recognition, and the 3' end, to which the tRNAs corresponding amino acid is attached (by aminoacyl-tRNA synthetases). tRNAs cope with the degeneracy of the genetic code in two manners: having more than one tRNA (with a specific anti-codon) for a particular amino acid; and 'wobble' base-pairing, i.e. permitting non-standard base-pairing at the 3rd anti-codon position. The record is from RNAcentral. Lineage: Bacteria; Bacillati; Bacillota; Bacilli; Caryophanales; Paenibacillaceae.